GAUGAACGCUAGCGGCAGGCUUAAUACAUGCAAGUCGAAGGGUAACAUGGUAGCAAUACUGAUGACGACUGGCGCACGGGUGCGUAACACGUAUGCAACCUACCUUUAACUGGAGCAUAGCCCCUCGAAAGAGGGAUUAAUACUCCAUAACAUAGUGAAAUGGCAUCAUUUUAUUAUUAAACCUCCGGGGGUUAAAGAUGGGCAUGCGGUGCAUUAGCUAGUUGGUGAGGUAAUGGCUCACCAAGGCUACGAUGCAUAGGGGUUCUGAGAGGACAUACCCCCACACUGGUACUGAGACACGGACCAGACUCCUACGGGAGGCAGCAGUAAGGAAUAUUGGACAAUGGUGGCAACACUGAUCCAGCCAUGCCGCGUGCAGGAUGACGGCCCUAUGGGUUGUAAACUGCUUUUGUACGGGAAAAAACCCUCGUUCGUGAACGAGGCUGAUGGUACCGUAAGAAUAAGGAUCGGCUAACUCCGUG
Molecule: ribosomal RNA, 482 nt
Filed under: uncultured organism
Description: bacterial SSU rRNA
Rfam family: Bacterial small subunit ribosomal RNA
Source: RNAcentral